AGAGUUUGAUCCUGGCUCAGAACGAACGCUGGCGGCAGGCCUAACACAUGCAAGUCGAGCGCUACCUUCGGGUGGAGCGGCGGACGGGUUAGUAACGCGUGGGAACAUACCCCUUUCUAUGGAAUAGCCUCGGGAAACUGAGAGUAAUACCAUAUACGCCCUUCGGGGGAAAGAUUUAUCGGUGAGGGAUUGGCCCGCGUAAGAUUAGAUAGUUGGUGGGGUAAUGGCCUACCAAGUCUACGAUCUUUAGCUGGUUUUAGAGGAUGAUCAGCAACACUGGGACUGAGACACGGCCCAGACUCCUACGGGAGGCAGCAGUGGGGAAUCUUAGACAAUGGGCGAAAGCCUGAUCUAGCCAUGCCGCGUGAGUGAUGAAGGCCUUAGGGUCGUAAAGCUCUUUCGCUAGGGAUGAUAAUGACAGUACCUAGUAAAGAAGCCCCGGCUAACUCCGUGCCAGCAGCCGCGGUAAUACGGAGGGGGCUAGCGUUGUUCGGAAUUACUGGGCGUAAAGCGUACGUAGGCGGAUCAGAAAGUAUGGGGUGAAAUCCCAGGGCUUAACCCUGGAACUGCCUCAUAAACUCCUGGUCUUGAGUUCGAGAGAGGUGAGUGGAAUUCCAAGUGUAGAGGUGAAAUUCGUAGAUAUUUGGAGGAACACCAGUGGCGAAGGCGGCUCACUGGCUCGAUACUGACGCUGAGGUACGAAAGUGUGGGGAGCAAACAGGAUUAGAUACCCUGGUAGUCCACACCGUAAACGAUGAAUGCCAGUCGUCGGGCAGUAUA
RNAcentral lists this ribosomal RNA (780 nucleotides) under uncultured bacterium. RNAcentral's name for it is "bacterial SSU rRNA". It matches the Rfam family "Bacterial small subunit ribosomal RNA", at positions 8 to 834 of the family's 1533-position model. The record is from RNAcentral.